GGCUCAGAACGAACGCUGGCGGCGUGGAUUAGGCAUGCAAGUCGAACGCGAAAGAGGGGGCAACUCCUCGAGUAGAGUGGCGAACGGGUGAGUAACGCGUGAAGAACCUGCCUUCAACAGGGGGAUAACACUCCCAACGGGGUGCUAAUACCGCAUGAGACCACGGAGCUGCAUGGCUCUGAGGUCAAAGGUGGCCUCUAUUUAUAAGCUACCGGUUGAAGAUGGCUUCGCGUCCCAUUAGCUAGUUGGCGGUGUAAAAGACCACCAAGGCGACGAUGGGUAGCUGGUCUGAGAGGAUGGUCAGCCACACUGGGACUGAGAUACGGCCCAGACUCCUACGGGAGGCAGCAGUCGAGAGGCUUCGGCAAUGGGGGAAACCCUGACCGAGCGACGCCGCGUGGAGGAUGAAGGCCCUUGGGUUGUAAACUCCUUUUGUUCGGGAAGAAAUGCGAUCAGGUGAACAAUCUGGUCGUUUGACGGUACCGGACGAAUAAGCUCCGGCUAACUCCGUGCCAGCAGCCGCGGUAACACGGGGGGAGCAAGCGUUGUUCGGAAUCACUGGGCGUAAAGGGCGUGUAGGCGGUCAGGUAAGUGGGAUGUGAAAUGCCCCGGCUCACCCGGGGAUCUGCAUUCCAAACUGCUUGGCUUGAGUAUGGGAGAGGAUGAGGGAAUUCCUGGUGUAGCGGUGAAAUGCGUAGAUAUCAGGAGGAACACCGGUGGCGAAGGCGCUCGUCUGGCCCAAUACUGACGCUGAUGCGCGAAAGCUAGGGGAGCAAACGGGAUUAGAUACCCCGGUAGUCCUAGCCGUAAACGGUGAGCACUAGGUGUUGGAGGCAUCGACCCCUCCAGUGCCGCAGCUAACGCAUUAAGUGCUCCGCCUGGGGAGUACGGCCG
Molecule: ribosomal RNA, 894 nt
Filed under: uncultured bacterium
Lineage: Bacteria
Description: bacterial SSU rRNA
Rfam family: Bacterial small subunit ribosomal RNA
Source: RNAcentral